UUAAACGUCCAUACUACGUUGAAUACACCGGUUCUCGUCCGAUCACCGUAGUUAAGCAAUGUCAGGCAGUACUUGGAUGGGUGACCGCCUGGGAACACCACGUGUUUCAA
This 110-nucleotide ribosomal RNA is filed under the name Melitaea cinxia (Glanville fritillary). The record is from RNAcentral. Lineage: Eukaryota; Metazoa; Arthropoda; Insecta; Lepidoptera; Nymphalidae.